GGGAGACUAUGUGUGGGUGUGUUAUAAGUUUGAGCAAGUGCUAUGCUGGGUUAGGGCUUCAAAGAAACCUGUGUAAAGUAAACCACAGCAUAUGACACUUUCUGUGAUCGAGCUUUGCUGUAGCAUUCCAUUGGCAUGAUGCAGGUGUCAGGAUCAUUGUCAGGAUGCCAUCUCUGAUUGGAUCAGUGCCAGACGAAGGACCGUGGCGACGGUGGAAAAUCGGCCAAAAUGCUGCCGAAUUUCUGCUGCAUUUUGGCGGCACUGCCUCUCGACCACCUAACCCAGAUUUUAGAGAUCCUCUCAGUGAGCUCCCCCAGAAUGGGAGAAACUUGGAAAAAGAAUAAAAUACGUUGCAGCCAA
Molecule: long non-coding RNA, 360 nt
Organism: Mauremys reevesii (Reeves's turtle)
Lineage: Eukaryota; Metazoa; Chordata; Testudines; Geoemydidae
Exons: 2
Source: RefSeq, a predicted model, not a curated record